AUUGAACGCUGGCGGCAUGCUUUACACAUGCAAGUCGAACGGUAACAGGCCUUCGGGUGCUGACGAGUGGCGAACGGGUGAGUAAUGCAUCGGAACGUACCCAGAGGUGGGGGAUAACGCAGCGAAAGCUGUGCUAAUACCUCAUGUGAGCUGAGGAUGAAAGCGGGGGACCGAGCAGCAAUGUUUGGCCUCGCGCCUUUGUAGCGGCCGAUGUCGGAUUAGCUAGUUGGUGGGGUAAAGGCCUACCAAGGCGACGAUCCGUAGCUGGUCUGAGAGGACGACCAGCCACACUGGAACUGAGACACGGCCCAGACUCCUACGGGAGGCAGCAGUGGGGAAUUUUCGACAAUGGGCGCAAGCCUGAUCCAGCAAUGCCGCGUGCGGGAAGAAGGCCUUCGGGUUGUAAACCGCUUUUGGCAGGAACGAAACGGUGUCCGCUAAUACCGGGCGAUAAUGACGGUACCUGAAGAAUAAGCACCGGCUAACUACGUG
This 492-nucleotide ribosomal RNA is filed under the name uncultured bacterium. RNAcentral's name for it is "partial 16S ribosomal RNA". It matches the Rfam family "Bacterial small subunit ribosomal RNA", at positions 30 to 507 of the family's 1533-position model. The record is from RNAcentral.